Non-coding RNA from Arachis ipaensis, 207 nucleotides. The record is from RefSeq and is a predicted model, not a curated record. NCBI's taxonomy places the organism in Eukaryota, Viridiplantae, Streptophyta, Magnoliopsida, Fabales, Fabaceae.
CAUGGUUGGUUUGGUGCUUGUUGAUUAACUAAUGAUUUGGUGAAUUAUUGAUUUGAGGUAUUUUGUGUUAGAAUCCUAGGAUUAGUGAACUAUGAUCCUUAGUUGAAUUUUGGUUGUUGGAUUUGAAUAUUGUAUGAGUAUAAUUGUUGAUCUAAGGUAGAUUUAUUAUGGUGACUGUUAUGAUGAUGAGGAAGGGUAUGUUGAAUU